Long non-coding RNA from Lepisosteus oculatus (spotted gar), 1037 nucleotides. RefSeq lists it as uncharacterized. NCBI's taxonomy places the organism in Eukaryota, Metazoa, Chordata, Actinopteri, Semionotiformes, Lepisosteidae. The record is from RefSeq and is a predicted model, not a curated record.
UGGAGGACCAUGCUGUCACCCUGUGUGCUGGUGCUGCUGCUGCUGAAGAGUGUCUCUGCAGGUCCUCUCAGCAGCGAUGUCACAGCUGGGUGAAAAGGAGGCGGAUGUUCAGACGUGAGGUGGCCUCAGGCUCUUUGACGACCUCUUGCUCUUCCCCAGAGGUGAUCACACCUUGUUCUGUCACACCAGCUCUCUUCCUGAUCCUCCUCUGGAGCUCCCAGCAGACACAGAUACAGAAGUCCUUCGUGUGGCAGCAAGGCAUCAUGGGUCUCUUUCUCCUGCUGCUGCUGGUCAGGGGGGCUGUUUCUGUGACUGUACGGCAGUAUCCUACAAUAGAAUUUGGAAUACAAGGCAGUACUUUAAAAAUUAACUGUGAGGUGACAGGGUCAGCUAGUCCUUCAAUCUACUGGUUCAAGCAGCAGAGCCAUAGUGAUCUGAAUCCUCUGUUUUAUUCUGUUGCUUCUGGUAAUGUAGAUCCCCCCACACAGGGGCAUUUCAGUGCAACCAGACCCAAUGGCUCCCACUUCAUUCUGGAGUCUACAGCCUUGACAGUGGAUGACUCUGCAGUGUAUUUCUGUGCUGGAAGCACUCACAGUGCCUGAAACACAUUGACUGUCAGUACAAAAACCACACCUGCAGUCCUUCUACAAGCUCAGAGAUAAACCAUCAUUAAUUCAGAAGCACUGCAGAUACAAAAGAGAGAAUAGUCUUCAAUAACUCAAUAGUCAGUCUCUGCUGUUUUUGUUAGCACAAUACAAUUUAUUUAUUUUUACUUAGUGAAAUGAAUCAUGGGAGAAGGGGAACUUAGCAACAGGUAGUUGACUGAACUCAUUAUUAUGACCCGUUUCUCUCAGAAAACUGAUCCAAUAAUUCACAUUGAAUUGAGAAGGACAUUUGAGAGCAUUUUUCAUGUUCCUGUGGAAAGCUUUUUUACUGCUGCCUUAAGCCUGUUUUUAAAUUAAUCUGUUUUUAAAAUCAAGACUUUCAUGCACAAGGAGUUUCUUUGUACAAAGCCAUGAGUUAAUUUUCCUUCUCCA